GCAGUCGAACGACUCUGGUAUUGAUUGGUGCUUGCAUCAUGAUUUACAUUUGAGUGAGUGGCGAACUGGUGAGUAACACGUGGGAAACCUGCCCAGAAGCGGGGGAUAACACCUGGAAACAGAUGCUAAUACCGCAUAACAACUUGGACCGCAUGGUCCGAGCUUGAAAGAUGGCUUCGGCUAUCACUUUUGGAUGGUCCCGCGGCGUAUUAGCUAGAUGGUGGGGUAACGGCUCACCAUGGCAAUGAUACGUAGCCGACCUGAGAGGGUAAUCGGCCACAUUGGGACUGAGACACGGCCCAAACUCCUACGGGAGGCAGCAGUAGGGAAUCUUCCACAAUGGACGAAAGUCUGAUGGAGCAACGCCGCGUGAGUGAAGAAGGGUUUCGGCUCGUAAAACUCUGUUGUUAAAGAAGAACAUAUCUGAGAGUAACUGUUCAGGUAUUGACGGUAUUUAACCAGAAAGCCACGGCUAACUACGUGCCAGCAGCCGCGGUAAUACGUAGGUGGCAAGCGUUGUCCGGAUUUAUUGGGCGUAAAGCGAGCGCAGGCGGUUUUUUAAGUCUGAUGUGAAAGCCUUCGGCUCAACCGAAGAAGUGCAUCGGAAACUGGGAAACUUGAGUGCAGAAGAGGACAGUGGAACUCCAUGUGUAGCGGUGAAAUGCGUAGAUAUAUGGAAGAACACCAGUGGCGAAGGCGGCUGUCUGGUCUGUAACUGACGCUGAGGCUCGAAAGUAUGGGUAGCAAACAGGAUUAGAUACCCUGGUAGUCCAUACCGUAAACGAUGAAUGCUAAGUGUUGGAGGGUUUCCGCCCUUCAGUGCUGCAGCUAACGCAUUAAGCAUUCCGCCUGGGGAGUACGGCCGCAAGGCUGAAACUCAAAGGAAUUGACGGGGGCCCGCACAAGCGGUGGAGCAUGUGGUUUAAUUCGAAGCUACGCGAAGAACCUUACCAGGUCUUGACAUACUAUGCAAAUCUAAGAGAUUAGACGUUCCCUUCGGGGACAUGGAUACAGGUGGUGCAUGGUUGUCGUCAGCUCGUGUCGUGAGAUGUUGGGUUAAGUCCCGCAACGAGCGCAACCCUUAUUAUCAGUUGCCAGCAUUAAGUUGGGCACUCUGGUGAGACUGCCGGUGACAAACCGGAGGAAGGUGGGGAUGACGUCAAAUCAUCAUGCCCCUUAUGACCUGGGCUACACACGUGCUACAAUGGAUGGUACAACGAGUUGCGAACUCGCGAGAGUAAGCUAAUCUCUUAAAGCCAUUCUCAGUUCGGAUUGUAGGCUGCAACUCGCCUACAUGAAGUCGGAAUCGCUAGUAAUCGCGGAUCAGCAUGCCGCGGUGAAUACGUUCCCGGGCCUUGUACACACCGCCCGUCACACCAUGAGAGUUUGUAACACCCAAAGUCGGUGG
This 1408-nucleotide ribosomal RNA is filed under the name Lactiplantibacillus plantarum. RNAcentral describes it as "bacterial SSU rRNA". It matches the Rfam family "Bacterial small subunit ribosomal RNA", at positions 57 to 1433 of the family's 1533-position model. Lineage: Bacteria; Bacillati; Bacillota; Bacilli; Lactobacillales; Lactobacillaceae. The record is from RNAcentral.